This 127-nucleotide small RNA is filed under the name Marmota monax (woodchuck). The record is from RNAcentral. Lineage: Eukaryota; Metazoa; Chordata; Mammalia; Rodentia; Sciuridae.
GCCAGGUGUGGUGGCGCAUGCCUGUAAUCCCAGCAGUUUGAGAGGCUGAGGCAGGAGGAUUGCAAGUUCAAAGCCAGCUUCAGCAAUUUAGGGAGGCCUUAGGCAACUUAGCAAGACCCUAUCUUAA